AGUGAGAUGGCUGAGUUUAAGCGAUAAAUUGUAAAUUUAUUUACGGAUUAGAUCCUCUUGCUA
This 63-nucleotide transfer RNA is filed under the name Ignelater luminosus. Its description in RNAcentral is "tRNA-Tyr". Lineage: Eukaryota; Metazoa; Arthropoda; Insecta; Coleoptera; Elateridae. The record is from RNAcentral.